UGGGGAAUAUUGCACAAUGGGCGCAAGCCUGAUGCAGCCAUGCCGCGUGUAUGAAGAAGGCCUUCGGGUUGUAAAGUACUUUCAGCGGGGAGGAGGGAGUAAAGUUAAUACCUUUGCUCAUUGACGUUACCCGCAGAAGAAGCACCGGCUAACUCCGUGCCAGCAGCCGCGGUAAUACGGAGGGUGCAAGCGUUAAUCGGAAUUACUGGGCGUAAAGCGCACGCAGGCGGUUUGUUAAGUCAGAUGUGAAAUCCCCAGGCUCAACCUGGGAACUGCAUCUGUUAGUGGCAAACUUGAGUCUGGUAGAGGGGGGUAGAAUUCCGGGUGUAGCGGUGAAGUGCGUAGAGAUCUGGGGGAAUACCGGUGGGGAAGGCGGCCCCCUGGACAAAGACUGACGCUCAGGUGCGAAAGAGUGGGGAGCAAACAGG
Molecule: ribosomal RNA, 428 nt
Filed under: Chloroflexota bacterium
Lineage: Bacteria; Bacillati; Chloroflexota
Description: Chloroflexi bacterium partial 16S ribosomal RNA
Rfam family: Bacterial small subunit ribosomal RNA
Source: RNAcentral